GGCAUGCAGUGAUAGGAGUAUGGGGACAGGGAUAGCAAUAUGGGAUAUACGAACUGGAGAUCCUCUCUUGCACAUUCCGACUUGUGCUUCCCCACCUCAUGGGUUAUUGUGCUUGGGAAACCAGUUUCUUGUAGCUUCUCAGGUUAACAAGCACGGAUCUGUUGGUGGUGGGGCUAUAUUCACCUGGCCCUUGAACAAGUCACAAUCACCACUUCGGAGCUACCCUAUUGAAGCCAUUGGGCCGAUUUCUUGCACCAUGGAUGGAGUGUAUCUUGCGGGCGGUGCUCCUUCGGGAAAUGUUUAUAUUUGGGCGGUUGCUAAUGGAAGACUGCUCAAAACAUGGCGCGCACAUCAUAAGUCUUUGAAGUGCAUGGCAUUUUCCAAUGAUGACUCUGUUCUUAUUUCAGGUUCAGAUGAUGGUAUGAUCUGCGUGUGGUCUAUGGUUAGUUUGCUGGAUAUGGAGAAUUUGGAAAGCUCACCUUCGUUGUUACACUACUCAUCCGAGCAUAGGUCCUCCAUAAGUGGUCUGUUAACAACAUCCAGCGCAAACUCAACUUUUAUAUCAAGCUCUCUGGACGGUACCUGCAAGGCUUGGGACCUGGUUUCAGGUAGGCUUAUACAAACUCAAGAACAUCCACUGGGGAUAACUGCGAUCGUCCUUCAUCCAGCAGAGCGAUUUCUGCUUGGUGGAAGUAUAGAUGGAAGAAUAUUUGUUAGUGUGCUUAACAUUGGACUAGUGGAUGAUCCUUUUGUUGUUGCAGAAGAUCAACUGUUCGUGCUAGAAGGACACAAGUAAUGUCUAAUGUAUGAUGCAUAAAGUUACUUGAAAUCUGAUUGAGAAUGAACUCAAGUACAUAUACAUUGUAGUGGAAUUGUAAAAGUGGA
This 885-nucleotide unclassified non-coding RNA is filed under the name Hevea brasiliensis (rubber tree). The record is from RNAcentral. Lineage: Eukaryota; Viridiplantae; Streptophyta; Magnoliopsida; Malpighiales; Euphorbiaceae.